ACGGCUCAGUAACACGUGGACAACCUACCCUUGGGUCUGGCAUAAUCCUGGGAAACUGGGUAUAAUUCCGGAUAGGUCACAGAUGCUGGAAUGCACUGUGGCCGAAAGCUCCGGCGCCCAAGGAUGGGUCUGCGGCCUAUCAGGGUUGUAGUGGGUGUAACGGACCUACUAGCCUACGACGGGUACGGGUUGUGAGAGCAAGAGCCCGGAGAUGGAUUCUGAGACACGAAUCCAGGCCCUACGGGGUGCAGCAGGCGCGAAGACUUUACAAUGCGGGAAACCGUGAUAAGGGAAUCUCGAGUGCCAGCAUAUAAUGUUGGCUGUCCAGAUGCCUAAAAAGCAUCUGUUAGCAAGGGCCGGGCAAGACCGGUGCCAGCCGCCGCGGUAACACCGGCGGCCCGAGUGGUAACCGCUUUUAUUGGGUCUAAAGGGUCUGUAGCCGGCCAAGUAAGUCCCUUGGGAAAUCUGGCAGCUUAACUGUCAGGCUGCUAGGGGAUACUGCUAGGCUUGGGACCGGGAGAGGUGAGAGGUACCUUGGGGGUAGGGGUGAAAUCUUGUGAUCCUCGGGGGACCACCAGUGGCGAAGGCGUCUCACCAGAACGGGUCCGACGGUAAGGGACGAAAGCUAGGGGCACGAACCGGAUUAGAUACCCGGGUAGUCCUAGCCGUAAACGAUGCUCGCUAGGUGUCAGUCACGGUGCGACCGUGAUUGGUGCCGUAGGGAAGCCGUGAAGCGAGCCACCUGGGAAGUAUGGCCGCAAGGCUGAAACUUAAAGGAAUUGGCGGGGGAGCAC
This 794-nucleotide ribosomal RNA is filed under the name uncultured Methanosaeta sp. RNAcentral describes it as "bacterial SSU rRNA". It matches the Rfam family "Archaeal small subunit ribosomal RNA", at positions 85 to 879 of the family's 1478-position model. The record is from RNAcentral. Lineage: Archaea; Methanobacteriati; Methanobacteriota; Methanomicrobia; Methanotrichales; Methanotrichaceae.